This 402-nucleotide ribosomal RNA is filed under the name uncultured bacterium. RNAcentral describes it as "bacterial SSU rRNA". It matches the Rfam family "Bacterial small subunit ribosomal RNA", at positions 356 to 773 of the family's 1533-position model. The record is from RNAcentral.
GGGGAAUCUUGCGCAAUGGGCGAAAGCCUGACGCAGCAACGCCGCGUGAACGAAGAAGGCCUUCGGGUCGUAAAGUUCUGUCAGGGGGGACGAAGUUUUGACGGUACCCCCGGAGGAAGCCCCGGCUAACUACGUGCCAGCAGCCGCGGUAACACGUAGGGGGCGAGCGUUGUCCGGAAUUACUGGGCGUAAAGGGCGUGUAGGCGGCCUUUCAAGUCAGGUGUGAAAUUCCAGGGCUCAACCCUGGGCGUGCACUUGAAACUGGGGGGCUUGAGUGCAGGAGAGGAAAGUGGAAUUCCCAGUGUAGCGGUGAAAUGCGUAGAUAUUGGGAGGAACACCAGUGGCGAAGGCGACUUUCUGGCCUGUAACUGACGCUGAGGCGCGAAAGCUAGGGGAGCAAAC